GGUUAAAAACAGAGUUAAAGGGAAUGGGUCUCGGAAGCCGAGGGUCUGAAGUUCAAGACUCCUAGAAGGGGAGGGGAAUGAAAGCCACUCAGUGAAGAAGGCCAGGGAUCAGAUUUGACCUUCAGCUGCAACAACACCAGAUCCUUAACCCAGGGAAUGAACCCUCAUCCCAGCACUCCCAAUAUACUGCCCCUUUGCUCCACAAUGGGAGCUCCUUAACCCUAUUAUUGAAUAAUAUUUCUUUACAGAGUUAUUAGGUGCUACUCAAUUAAAAUUUUGUUGCACCAGAAUUUUUAUGAAAAUAUGAGCUCUGAUUAUCUUGAACUAGCAGCAGAAACCCUGGAAGUUAUUAAUACAGUGUAUUUGUGCAAGAAUGAUGAAAUUUACUGCACAGAAUGGGUAUGAAAAUGAAGUGAGCCAGCAAAAAUGAAAGUGGACCCUGUAACCUCUGGCACACAUAGUCACUUAUGCCUUUCCUUCUGCUGUCAGAUGGUGGUUGUGAGGUAAAACAAAUACAGUCUAUCUCUGACUUACAAUGGUUCGCCCUAAGAUUUUUGGACUUCAUGAUGGUGUGAAAGCAAUAUGAAUUCAGUAGAAACCGAACUUCAAAUUUUUGAAUUUUCCUCUGUUCCCAAGCUAGGGAUGUACUAUUGGAUACGCUCGGAUACCCUCUUGUAUGCUGGACAGUGGCAGCAAGCAGCUCCCAGUCGGCCAUGCAAUCAGGAGGGUAAACAAUGGACACACUUCCAAUUAUUCCGGACCCAGACGACCAUUCCUCUUUCACCUUCAGUACAGUAUUUGAUGAAUUGCAUGAGAUAUCGAACACUUCAUUAUAAAAUAGGCUUUGUGGGAGUUCCCGUCAUGGCGCAGUGGUUAAUGAAUCCGACUAGGAACCAUGAGGUUGCGGGUUUGGUCCCUGUCCUUGCUCAGUGGGUUGAGGAUCCGGCGUUGUCGUGAGCUGUGGUGUAGGUUGCAGAUGCAGCUCGGAUCCUGCAUUGCUGUGGCUGUGGCAUAGGCCGGUGGCUGCAGCUCUGAUUCGACCCCUGGCCUGGGAACCUCCAUAUGCCGCUGGAUUGGCUCAAGAAAUAGCAAAAAGACAAAAAAAAAAAAAAAAANAAA
This 1119-nucleotide long non-coding RNA is filed under the name Sus scrofa (pig). RNAcentral describes it as "lncRNA (ENSSSCG00035020840.1)". The record is from RNAcentral. Lineage: Eukaryota; Metazoa; Chordata; Mammalia; Artiodactyla; Suidae.